AAGAGCUUUUUUUUUUUUUUUUUAAGGGCCACACCUGUGGCAUAUGGAGGUUCCCAGGCUAAGGGUUGAAUCAGAGCUGUCGCCACCAGCCUAGGCCACAGCCACAGCAACUGGAGAUCUGAGCCACGUCUGGCAACCCAUGGCAUAUGAAAAUUCCCAGGAUAGGGGCUGAAAUGGAAUUACAGCUACUGGCAGACACCACAGCCACAGCAACACAGGAUCUGAGCCACAUUUGCCACCGACACCACAGCUCAUGGCUACACUGGAUCCUUAACCCACUGAGUGAGGCCAGGGAUUGAACCCGCAUCCUCAUGGAUCCUAGUAGGGUUUGUUAACCACUGAGCCAUGAAGGGAACUCCAACAGAGCUUCUUAUUUGCUCUGUAUCUGCUUCCUAAUUGGCUACAUUACCUUGAACAAAUUAUUUAACCCGAUUCACACCUUGGUGUACCACCAACAUCAUAGAUUUUGCCUGGAUUAACAAUUAUAAAUGAUCAGUAUCUUUUCAACCUUCACUUCUCAACUUUAAUGUUCCUUCCUCAAAGGAAUCCUUUCCUGACCACUCUCUAAAGUAAGUCUCCUUCAAAAACGGAACCCUCCUACACUCUUAGUGGGAAUGUAAAUUGGCACAGCCACUAUGGAAAACAGUAUGGAGUUUCCUUAAAAAACCAGAGUUACCAUAUGAUCCAGCAAUCCCACUCCUGGGCAUAUAUCCAGAAAAAACCCAUAAUUUGAAAAGAUACAUGCACCCCCCAAUGUUCACUGAAGCAUUACUUACAAUAGCCAAGACAUGGAAGCAAACUAAACGUCCAUCAACAGAAGAAUGAAUAAACAUAGGUACACAUAUACUAUGGAAUUUUACUCAGCCAUAAAAAAAGAAUGAAAUAAUGCCAUUUGCAGCAAGAUGGAUGGACCCAGAUAUUGGGUUAAAUGAAGAAAGUCAGACAGAGAAAGACAAAUACCACAUGAUUUCACUUAUAUGUGGAAUCUAAAAAAAAAUGACACAAAUGAAUGUGUUUACAAAACAGAAACAGACUCACAGACUUCAAAAACUUAUGAUUACCACAGGGAAAAGGUAGGGGGAGGAAUAAAUUAAGAGUUUGGGAAUUAACAUAUACAUACUACUAUAUAUAAAAUAGAUAAGCAACCACAACCUGCUGUAUAGCACAGGGAAUUUACUCAUAUUCUGUAAUGACCUAUGUGAGAAAAGAAUCUGAAAAAGAAUGGAUACGAGUUCCCAUGGUGGCGCAGUGGUUAACGAAUCUGACUAGAAACCAUGAGGUUGCGGGUUCGAUCCCUGGCCUUGCUCAGAAGGUUGGGGAUCCGGCAUUGCCGUGAGCUGUAGGUUGCAGACGCAGCUUGGAUCCUACGUUGCUGUGUCUCUGGCAUAGGCCGGUGGCUACAUCUGAUUAGACCCCUAGCCUGGGAACAUCCAUAUGCUGAGGGAGCGGCCCAAGAAAUGGCAAAAAAAGAAAAAGAAUGGAUAUAUAUGUAGGAUUCAAUCACCUGGCUGUACACCUGAAAUCAACAACACUGUAAAUCAACUAUACUCCAAUACAUGAGUUUCCAUUGUGGCUCAGGGGUUACAAACCAGGCAGUAUCCACGAGGAUGAGGGUUUGAGCCCUGGCCUCACUCACUGGGUUAAGGAUCUGUUGUUGCUGUGAGCUGUAGUGUAGAUUGCAGACAAAUAUGGCAUUGCUAUUGCUGUGGCUGUGGUGUAGGCUGGCAGCUGCAGCUGCAGCUCCAAUUUGAUCCCUAGCCUGGGAACUUCCACAUGCCAUGGGUGCAGCCUUUCUAAAAAAGAAAAAACAAAACAAAACAAAACUAUACUCCAAUAUAAAAUUAAAAAUUAAAUUAAAAAAAAUAAAAGUCUCCCUCUGAUUCUCUCUCAGCACUGUUGAUCCACUUUCACAAUUUGUAAUGUAUAUUUACUUCCUGGUUUUGCUGGACGUCUCCCACACUGGGUGGGAGGCUCCACCAGGGGAUGGACCGUUGUUUUCAGCAGUACACCCUGCCUGGCACAAAACAGGUGCUUGCUGGUUGUUACCAAGCCCUUCCCCUUGACCAAUGUGUAUUCGUUCGACAUACUGAAGGGUGUGCCAGGGCUGUUUCCUAGAGAUUAACUGCAAGAGAUGGCCUUCAAUAGUCGUAAUUCACUUUCUUUCAAAAAACCACUCUGAGGUCCCCUUGGCUCCAGCGCACACCUGCCAGAAAUCUCCCCAAGGACUUUUGAUCAAUUACAAAAACCUUUAGUUAUGAUUUUCAGAGUUUUUUCAAUAAUAAACUUGAUACUAAGGAUUAGGAAAGAAAUGUACGUAUUUCUUAAAUGCAAGAUUGACUAUCAAAAUAGCACUUUAAAAAAACCCCAGAAAACAAAAAGGAGUUCCCGUCGUGGUUCAGUGGUUAAUGAAUCCGACUAGGAACCAUGAGGUUGCAGGUUCGAUCCCUAGCCUUGCUCAGUGGGUUAAGGAUCUGGCGUUGUGGUGAACUGUGGUGUAGGUCACAGACUCGACUCAGGUCUCAUGCUGCUGUGGCUGUGGCAUAGGCCAAUUGGAUCCCUAGCCUGAGAACCUCCAUAUGCCAUGGGUGUGGCCCUAAAAUGCAAAAAAACACCAAAAAACAAAACCAUAAAACAAAAGAGCACUUUUCACUCAUAUAAGGGUCCAAGAUAUUAAAAGAUUUUUUGUUGCUUACUCCACAUUUAUUGCUUUCCUUUUGGGUGUAUCAAUAAUGGAACUGCUAACAGAGAUGAGGCAAUGGCACAGUCCAGGACAUACACCCAUUCCACAUGCAAAUUCUAAUGUGAACAAGAGGUGACAUAUGUAUUGGGCAAAGGGAAACAAAACUUGACAUAUGGGAAGUCAUUUCAAAUCACAACAGCUAAUACUGGGAUGAUAUCACCCCCUGAAAAUAGAGCCUGCCCAUCUAGGAGGAGCCAGGUCAGGUGUUAUUACAGUCAAAUGGAUCUUAGAAAAAAAUAUUACAUGAGGAAACCAGAAAGAUAAAGUCUUCUGAUGUGCUUACAACAACAACAAAUAACUGUCGACUGCAUCAAGACAUGUGGCAAGUUCCAAACUAUAAGUUUAGUUGGAAAAAGUAAAAACCAGAUAUAUAUGUGUAUAUGCGUACGCAUGUGUGUAUAUAAUCCACCUAUAUAUCCAUAUCUAUAUACAUGUUAUAUGGAUUAAAACAAAAAUAUAUAAAAUACUUGAUUCCCUUAGUUUUCUAUUAAAUGUGGUCUUUAAUGAAGGUGACCAUGUACUUUAACAUCCUAACCAGGCCAGAUGUGAGUGAAAGAGAGACUUACUAAUAAUCACGCCAGGACGAGAUGUAUACUGGGACUGUCCUGGGCAAGUCAAGACACACAAUCACCUGAUUUAUAAUAAAGUCCAUGGAAAACUGCAAGAUUUCAUGAACUACAAGUCAGAUGAACAAUAUUAAAAUGUGUCUCCUGGAGUUCCCGUCGUGGCUCAGUGGAAACAAAUCUGACUAGGAAUGAAGCAUAAGGCUGCCGAUUCUAUCCCUGGCCUCACUCAGUGGGUUAAGGAUCUGGUGUUGCUGUGAGCUGUGGCGUAGGUGGCAGCCGCAGCUCAGAUCUUGCGUUGCUCUGGCUGUGGCGUAGGCUGGCAGUUGCAGCUCUGAUUCAACCCCUAGCCUGGGAACCUCCAUAUGCCACGGGCACAGCCCUAAAAAACUAAAGUCUGCAAAAUAUUUUGUCCAUAUGAAGCAACAUCUUAUUAAAUAAAAGAUAUAAAUUAAAGAAUGAAUAGUAAAGUGUUAAUAUAAGGCGUUAAUCUCUACAAGGGCCAGAAGCUUAAAUUAAUAUUUUCUUUAGUUAAGAAAUCCAAUCCUCUCUAAGAACAUAAGCCAACCCAUAUAGACAUCUCUGCACCACAGUCUCUAGUACCGCUUAGUUAUUUCUGUUACUAGGAGACAUCUGCACAAUAACAAAAUUUAUAUCCUUCUCUUGCUUCUAUUCUUCCACCUAAAGGAAUAAUCCUCCAUUAUUAGCAAUACACUUAAUAUCUCCACAGCAACUAGUAUAAUUGGGGUGUUGCAACAGGAGGAUAAUGAAGUGGAAAACAAAGUGAGAGAAGUAGUGUAGAGAAAAAAAAAAAAAAAAAAAAAAAACAACUUCCACACAGCCUUGGUGGGAAAAUAACUACCAAGAUGAAAAAAGAAAACUUGCUAAAGAGAACCCUUUUGAGGUUGUUUGAGUCACUACUAAGUCUUUAUGGUAACUCAAUUAUUUAGUGAGGCAAAUAAAAUUUCCAAAACGAUCACCUGUAUGGUAGAACACGUGCAGACGGCAUCGCCCAAGGAACCCUGAGGUGGGAAAGAGAUGAGGUUUCUGAAAUAGGUAAGUGGACUUUCUGGAGUUCCUGUCAUGGCGCAGUGGAAACGAAUCUGACUAGGAACCAUGAGGUUGCAUGUUCAACCCCUGGCCUCGCACAAUGGGUUAAGGAUCUGGCGUUGCCGUGAGCUGUGGUGUAGGUCGCAGAUGUGGCUCAGAUCUUGUGUUGCUAUGGCUGUGGCAUAGGCUGGCAGCUGUAGCUCCAAUUAGAGCCCUAGCCUGGGAACCUCCAUGUGCCAC
This 4593-nucleotide long non-coding RNA is filed under the name Sus scrofa (pig). RNAcentral describes it as "lncRNA (ENSSSCG00030003082.1)". Lineage: Eukaryota; Metazoa; Chordata; Mammalia; Artiodactyla; Suidae. The record is from RNAcentral.